GACAGGGGUCCCGAGCGUUAGGCGGAAUCACUGGGCUUAAAGCGUGUGUAGGUGGAUGCCUAAGUACCUUGUGAAAUCCCACGGCUUAACCGUGGAAUUGCUUGGUAUACUGGGUGUCUUGAGCUAGCUAGGGGCAACCGGAACAAAUGGUGGAGCGGUGAAAUGCGUAGAUAUCGUAAGGAAGACCAGUGGCGAAGGCGGGUCUCUGGACAGUUCCUGACGCUGAGGCACGAAGGUCAGGGGAGCAAACGGG
Molecule: ribosomal RNA, 253 nt
Filed under: uncultured bacterium
Lineage: Bacteria
Description: partial 16S ribosomal RNA
Rfam family: Bacterial small subunit ribosomal RNA
Source: RNAcentral